RNAcentral lists this ribosomal RNA (301 nucleotides) under uncultured bacterium. RNAcentral describes it as "partial 16S ribosomal RNA". It matches the Rfam family "Bacterial small subunit ribosomal RNA", at positions 509 to 807 of the family's 1533-position model. The record is from RNAcentral.
CAGUCGCCGCGGUAAUACGUAGGGUGCGAGCGUUAAUCGGAAUUACUGGGCGUAAAGCGUGCGCAGGCGGUUGUGUAAGACAGGUGUGAAAUCCCCGGGCUUAACCUGGGAACUGCGCUUGUGACUGCACGGCUAGAGUAUGGCAGAGGGGGGUGGAAUUCCACGUGUAGCAGUGAAAUGCGUAGAGAUGUGGAGGAACACCGAUGGCGAAGGCAGCCCCCUGGGCCAAUACUGACGCUCAUGCACGAAAGCGUGGGGAGCAAACAGGAUUAGAUACCCCCGUAGUCCCUGUCUCUUAUAC